RNAcentral lists this transfer RNA (74 nucleotides) under Blautia wexlerae. Its description in RNAcentral is "tRNA-Glu". It matches the Rfam family "tRNA". Rfam says of the family: Transfer RNA (tRNA) molecules are approximately 80 nucleotides in length. Lineage: Bacteria; Bacillati; Bacillota; Clostridia; Lachnospirales; Lachnospiraceae. RNAcentral also lists the same sequence under 7 other names. The record is from RNAcentral.
GGCUCCGUGGUCUAACGGUUAGCGACAUUGCCCUUUCACGGCGAUAAUGCAGGGUUCGAAUCCCGCCGGAGUCA